ACGUAGGUGGCAAGCGUUGUCCGGAUUUACUGGGCGUAAAGCGCGCGCAGGCGGUUCGUUAAGUCCGGUGUGAAAGCCCCCGGCUCACCUGGGGGAGGGCAUUGGAGACUGGCGGACUGGAGGCAGGCAGAGGCCGGUGGAAUUCCCGGUGUAGUGGUGAAAUGCGUAGAGAUCGGGAGGAACACCCGUGGCGAAGGCGGCCGGCUGGGCCUGUCCUGACGCUGAGGCGCGAAAGCUGGGGGAGCAAACGGGA
Molecule: ribosomal RNA, 253 nt
Filed under: uncultured prokaryote
Description: partial 16S ribosomal RNA
Rfam family: Bacterial small subunit ribosomal RNA
Source: RNAcentral